ACAGCAGCACCGCGGUAAUACGGAGGGAGCUAGCGUUGUUCGGAAUUACUGGGCGUAAAGCGCACGUAGGCGGCUUUGUAAGUUAGAGGUGAAAGCCUGGAGCUCAACUCCAGAAUUGCCUUUAAGACUGCAUCGCUUGAAUCCGGGAGAGGUGAGUGGAAUUCCGAGUGUAGAGGUGAAAUUCGUAGAUAUUCGGAAGAACACCAGUGGCGAAGGCGGCUCACUGGACCGGCAUUGACGCUGAGGUGCGAAAGCGUGGGGAGCAAACAGGAUUAGAGACCCCUGUAGUCCCUGUCUCUUAUACA
RNAcentral lists this ribosomal RNA (305 nucleotides) under uncultured bacterium. RNAcentral's name for it is "partial 16S ribosomal RNA". It matches the Rfam family "Bacterial small subunit ribosomal RNA", at positions 508 to 808 of the family's 1533-position model. The record is from RNAcentral.